UGGGGAAUUUUGGACAAUGGGCGAAAGCCUGAUCCAGCAAUGCCGCGUGUGUGAAGAAGGCCUUCGGGUUGUAAAGCACUUUUGUCCGGAAAGAAAUCCUUGGCUCUAAUACAGUCGGGGGAUGACGGUACCGGAAGAAUAAGCACCGGCUAACUACGUGCCAGCAGCCGCGGUAAUACGUAGGGUGCAAGCGUUAAUCGGAAUUACUGGGCGUAAAGCGUGCGCAGGCGGUUUGCUAAGACCGAUGUGAAAUCCCCGGGCUCAACCUGGGAACUGCAUUGGUGACUGGCAGGCUAGAGUAUGGCAGAGGGGGGUAGAAUUCCACGUGUAGCAGUGAAAUGCGUAGAGAUGUGGAGGAAUACCGAUGGCGAAGGCAGCCCCCUGGGCCAAUACUGACGCUCAUGCACGAAAGCGUGGGGAGCAAACAGGAUUAGAUACCCUGGUAGUCCACGCCCUAAACGAUGUCAACUAGUUGUUGGGGAUUCAUUUCCUUAGUAACGUAGCUAACGCGUGAAGUUGACCGCCUGGGGGAGUACGGUCGCAAGAUUAAAACUUAAAUGAAUUGACGGGGUCAUAGCUGUUUCU
Molecule: ribosomal RNA, 585 nt
Filed under: uncultured bacterium
Lineage: Bacteria
Description: partial 16S ribosomal RNA
Rfam family: Bacterial small subunit ribosomal RNA
Source: RNAcentral